CCCUUAGAUGUUCUGGGCUGCACGCGCGCUACACUGAUGCACUCAACGAGUUUACGACCUUGCCCGAUAGGGUUGGGUAAUCUUUUUAAAAUGCAUCGUGAUGGGGAUAGAUUAUUGCAAUUAUUAAUCUUCAACGAGGAAUUCCUAGUAAGCGCGAGUCAUCAGCUCGUGCUGAUUACGUCCCUGCCCUUUGUACACACCGCCCGUCGCUCCUACCGAUUGAGUGCUCAGGUGAAUAAUUCGGACUGCAGCAAUGUUUGGAUCCCGAACGUUGCAGCGGAAAGUUUAGUGAACCCUAUCACUUAGAGGAAGGAGAAGUCGUAACA
RNAcentral lists this ribosomal RNA (326 nucleotides) under uncultured eukaryote. RNAcentral describes it as "partial 18S ribosomal RNA". It matches the Rfam family "Eukaryotic small subunit ribosomal RNA", at positions 1470 to 1796 of the family's 1831-position model. The record is from RNAcentral.